CGCAACACCACCAACCUCAAGGGGAGAGCGCAAGUUAACGACUGGGGCAGAAUGCAGUCAGAACCUAGAUCUCACCUGAGUUGAGGCACACCAACACCAAACCUGUGUACAUCAGAUACAUUUGUAUUCACAGAACUCAGUCUUGCAGUACCGAGUCUAUAUACAUCUGCGUACAAUCAUGCACAAGUGAAGAGAGGCUAAAUCGGACAAUGGGUGUUUCAUCAGGUUUGAUUUAUUUUUUGAGGUAAUAUCUCCUCUCUUUGAUGUAAUCUGCGUUGCUAUAAAGAGGUACAAACUGGUUCCCAGUUUAAAACGGUAUGAAUCUCAAUACCAAUUUUGUAGUGAAGACUUAAGGUCAACAUGUUUUUACUGUUAUGUUUAGUGGUGUAAUACUACUUAUCACAGAAAAACAUAUUUCUGGUUUCAUUUGCUUUUAUAUGUAUGUAUACAUUGCUGUUAUGCUUGAGUAGUUUUCUGCAUAUUGUGGACUUCAUGUUGUUCAGGUUAGAAAUGAAUUCCUUGCCUAUUAUAUGCUUGAACUGUUAAAUUGACAAUUUUGUAUAUAUCUCUCAAAACCAUGGUGGGAGUGAAAGUUAGAACUUUUGGAUUAUAAUAGCGUAACCUGGAAAUCUUGGUACGAUUUUAUUCUUCGUUUGUUCAUUGUAAUCCAUGUGUCUAAGAUUUCGUUUUGUUUGCUAGAUUGCUUUUAAUUCUUUUACGUUAACAUGUUUAAUUUAAUUUUAGAACAAAGCUUCAUGGUUCAAAAUGGCGAAUAUGAGUCUGUGGCACAAUGGUAGUGCAUCCGACAUCAAGUGAGAAGGUUGUAUAUUCAAUUCACACCAGAUUCAAUCCUCUAUAAUAACGUUUUGUUAUUGCAUCCUUUACCAUAACUUACAGUAAAAAAGUACUGAAUUUGCACAUAGAAAUGAUAUUGAUGAUUGAAUUGUGUCACACCAGAUGAAUAGCACCAACACAAUCUUCGGUAAACCCUUUCCACAUUUUUAAUUUUGAAGGCUUGUUGUUGGACAGUUUUUGUUAAACCCUUUUCAACAUUACGUCUAAUUUCAUGUCUUAGUCGUAGCUAAUUGUACAUCACUACUUGUCUAGUAUCUUGUUAUGCAUAACGUUGCUAUUGUUCUUUGAUUUUGGUUAUACGCCUCACUUGUUAUAUAUUGUGGUUAGCGGUAAAAUUUCCAUAAAGUUUGAUAUCUAGAAUUCAAGGGCUCAUUUGGCAAAGUAGGCAAAAGAAUGAAGAGAUACUUGUUUGGGACAAUUGGAGUUUGAUACUCAGAUUUUGACCAACACUAGGCUUUGGUCUAACAUUUGUCCAACGUUAGUCUUGAUACCUGGACUAGAUGUUGACUCACGCUGACCGUUAACGACCACACUUUAAUUAAUUUUAGGGAGUAAGAAUAUUUUAAAUUGUUGAGUUUACAAGUAUACCCUUAGUGUGGGUCCGGUAUCCAAGGGUUAAAAAGAAAAGAAAAAGAUUACAAUUUUGAUGUCUCCACUCUCUUCUCUUUUAUCUCCGGCUGUAGGGCUCAUUCCCAGAUAAAACUCUUCUCCUUCUUAUUUAGCUUUCUGCUAUUGCAUCUCUAUUCUUUAGAAUCUCCAGUAUAAUUUUUUUUCUUUCUUUUUAAUGAAAUCCACCACUUUGAACAUAUCAUGGUUUGGUUUAUCUAUUGUUGCAGAGGUAUAUAGUCAAGGUUUGAUUUUGAUGAAAGAAGAAGACAAACGGAGGUAAAAUGAUUUAUUAUUGGUGUUGCAGAGAAGAAUAUGAUUUGGAUAUGGUACAAUUUGAGUUUAGUCAGGAUUUUCUUUCUUUCUUUUUUAGAAUUGAUUUAGAUAUGAAAAUGGGUUUUGGUUAAUUUUUGGGUUUCAAUUCGGAUUCACGGUAGAAUAGAUUAGGGUGGUGUACAGAGAGAUUGAAGAACAGUUUCUUUGGAGAAUUUUUUCGAACAGUUAUUGAGCGUGAACUUGUGUUGGUAGAGAUAAGCUUCUCUUUCUUCUUCUAACCCUUGUUUAUCUCCUUCCAUGCAAUUAACUGCACAUCAAGACAAUCCCAGAUCGCUUACACCAUUCAACAUCAUAUUACAGUGACAAACCGCGUCAAUUUGUUAACUCCACUUCAAACGGCAGCAACAUUUCUUUUAUCUAAUCACUACCAUUCACAGCCAUCAUUGAUCCUUGUGUAACAACUCAAACAGACCCAUCCACAGAAGAAAACAUACUUCCCUCUUCUUGCGAUCAUCACCUCUAACAAUGGCAUCAACUACCUUGUCAUGUUUCACCUUGAACCCAUUCUGUUUGCUGUCUAAAUCAGUACAAUACCCAAUCUUCUAUUUCGAAAUUCCUUGCAAACCCUGGUCUUUAAGAGCUCGGAAUCAUUAUUAACGACGAUCGGAAAAAUGAUAGCAAAAAUAAUUCUUGUUGAUUAAAAUUGAUAGUAGUGGCGGAGGCCACAGUUUGGAGGAGGAGAAGGCGAAAGGAUGAGGGUUAUAUUGACGAGUACUCUGUAAAUAUUAGUAGAAUCAAGGGUAUAACUGUAAUCUUGUUUAUUUAUUUAAUUUAAUGGGUUUUUUGUUUUUAUUUAGUAAACAGAAAGCAAGAUUUAACUGGUCAA
This is a long non-coding RNA of Papaver somniferum (opium poppy), 2623 nucleotides long. RefSeq lists it as uncharacterized. The record is from RefSeq and is a predicted model, not a curated record. The transcript is spliced from 2 exons. NCBI's taxonomy places the organism in Eukaryota, Viridiplantae, Streptophyta, Magnoliopsida, Ranunculales, Papaveraceae.